ACUCAAAUGAAUUGACGGGGACCCGCACAAGCGGUGGAUGAUGUGGAUUAAUUCGAUGCAACGCGAAAAACCUUACCUACCCUUGACAUGCCAGGAACCUAGCUGAGAGGCUGGGGUGCCCGAAAGGGAGCCUGGACACAGGUGCUGCAUGGCUGUCGUCAGCUCGUGUCGUGAGAUGUUGGGUUAAGUCCCGCAACGAGCGCAACCCUUGCCACUAGUUGCCACUCGCAAGAGGGCACUCUAGUGGGACUGCCGGUGACAAACCGGAGGAAGGUGGGGAUGACGUCAAGUCCUCAUGGCCCUUAUGGGUAGGGCUUCACACGUCAUACAAUGGCGCAUACAGAGGGUUGCCAACCCGCGAGGGGGAGCCAAUCCCAGAAAGUGCGUCGUAGUCCGGAUUGUUCUCUGCAACUCGAGAGCAUGAAGUCGGAAUCGCUAGUAAUCGCGGAUCAGCAUGUCGCGGUGAAUACGUUCCCGGGUCUUGUACACACCGCCCGU
RNAcentral lists this ribosomal RNA (498 nucleotides) under uncultured bacterium. RNAcentral describes it as "partial 16S ribosomal RNA". It matches the Rfam family "Bacterial small subunit ribosomal RNA", at positions 899 to 1397 of the family's 1533-position model. The record is from RNAcentral.